RNAcentral lists this ribosomal RNA (427 nucleotides) under uncultured bacterium. RNAcentral's name for it is "partial 16S ribosomal RNA". It matches the Rfam family "Bacterial small subunit ribosomal RNA", at positions 355 to 774 of the family's 1533-position model. The record is from RNAcentral.
UGGGGAAUAUUGGACAAUGGGCGAAAGCCUGAUCCAGCCAUGCCGCGUGUGUGAAGAAGGUCUUCGGAUUGUAAAGCACUUUAAGUUGGGAGGAAGGGCAUUAACCUAAUACGUUAGUGUUUUGACGUUACCGACAGAAUAAGCACCGGCUAACUCUGUGCCAGCAGCCGCGGUAAUACAGAGGGUGCAAGCGUUAAUCGGAAUUACUGGGCGUAAAGCGCGCGUAGGUGGUUUGUUAAGUUGGAUGUGAAAUCCCCUGGCUCAACCUGGGAACUGCAUUCAAAACUGACUGACUAGAGUAUGGUAGAGGGUGGUGGAAUUUCCUGUGUAGCGGUGAAAUGCGUAGAUAUAGGAAGGAACACCAGUGGCGAAGGCGACCACCUGGACUAAUACUGACACUGAGGUGCGAAAGCGUGGGGAGCAAACA